UAGAGUUUGAUCAUGGCUCAGGACGAACGCUGGCGGCGUGCUUAACACAUGCAAGUCGGACGGUUAGUAGGUGAAAGCUUGCUGGAUCCUACUGAUAGUGGCGGACGGGUGAGUAACACGUGAGAACCUGACCCAAGCAGGGGGACAACUGCUGGAAACGGCAGCUAAUACCCCAUAGGCGGGAGACCGUUAAAGGAGUGAUCCGGCUUGGGAGGGGCUCGCGGCCUAUCAGCUAGUAGGUGUGGUAAUGGCGCACCUAGGCGAUGACGGGUAGCCGGCCUGAGAGGGUGUACGGCCACACUGGAACUGAGAUACGGUCCAGACUCCUACGGGAGGCAGCAGUGGGGAAUAUUGGGCAAUGGGGGCAACCCUGACCCAGCGACGCCGCGUGGGGGAAGAAGUCCUUCGGGAUGUAAACCUCUGUUGUGUGGGAAGAAGGAUGUGACGGUACCACACGAGGAAGCCCCGGCAAACUACGUGCCAGCCGCCGCGGUAAUACA
This 500-nucleotide ribosomal RNA is filed under the name Syntrophomonadaceae bacterium 7bZ. Its description in RNAcentral is "bacterial SSU rRNA". It matches the Rfam family "Bacterial small subunit ribosomal RNA", at positions 1 to 527 of the family's 1533-position model. Lineage: Bacteria; Bacillati; Bacillota; Clostridia; Eubacteriales; Syntrophomonadaceae. The record is from RNAcentral.